This 460-nucleotide ribosomal RNA is filed under the name uncultured bacterium. Its description in RNAcentral is "partial 16S ribosomal RNA". It matches the Rfam family "Bacterial small subunit ribosomal RNA", at positions 338 to 795 of the family's 1533-position model. The record is from RNAcentral.
CCUACGGGAGGCAGCAGUGAGGAAUAUUGGUCAAUGGGCGGGAGCCUGAACCAGCCAAGUCGCGGGAGGGAAGACGGUCCUAUGGAUUGUAAACCUCUUUAGGCGGGGAGCAAUGCCGGGCACGCGUGCCCGGAGGGAGAGUACCCGCAGAAUAAGCAUCGGCAAACUCCGUGCCAGAAGCCGCGGUAAUACGGAGGAUGCGAGCGUUAUACGGAUUUAUUGGGUUUAAAGGGUGCGUAGGCGGAUUUUUAAGUCAGCGGUAAAAUGUCCGGGCUCAACCCGGGCCGGCCGUUGAAACUGGUGAUCUUGAGUGGGCGAGAAGUAUGCGGAAGGCGUGGUGUAGCGGUGAAAUGCAUAGAUAUCACGCAGAACUCCGAUUGCGAAGGCAGCAUACCGGCGCCCGACUGACGCUGAGGCACGAAAGCGUGGGGAUCGAACAGGAUUAGAUACCCCGGUAGUC